This is a long non-coding RNA of Oncorhynchus tshawytscha (Chinook salmon), 304 nucleotides long. Lineage: Eukaryota; Metazoa; Chordata; Actinopteri; Salmoniformes; Salmonidae. The record is from Ensembl.
CGUAAUGAUGGUGGCAGGUGUGCGUAAUGAUGGUGGCAGGAGUGCGUAAUGAUGGUGGCAGGAGUGCGUAAUGAUGGUGGCAGGUGUGCGUAACGAUGGUGGCAGGAGUGCGUAAUGAUGGUGGCAGGAGUGCAUAAUGAUGGUGGCAGGAGUGCGUAAUGAUGGUGGCAGGAGUGCGUAAUGAUGGUGGCAGGUGUGCGUAAUGAUGGUGGCAGGAGUGCGUAAUGAUGGUGGCAGGAGUGCAUAAUGAUGGUGGCAGGAGUGCGUAAUGAUGGUGGCAGGAGUGCGUAAUGAUGGUGGCAGG